GCGAAAACUUUACAAUGCUGGCAACAGCGAUAAGGGAACCUCGAGUGCCAGGUUACAAAUCUGGCUGUCGAGAUGCCUAAAAAGCAUUACAUAGCAAGGGCCGGGCAAGACCGGUGCCAGCCGCCGCGGUAACACCGGCGGCUAGAGUGGUAACCGUUAUUAUUGGGUCUAAAGGGUCUGUAGCCUGCCGGAUAAGUCUCUUGAGAAAUCUGGCAGCUUAACUGUCAGGCUUUCAGGAGAUACUGUCUGGCUCGAGGCCGGGAGAGGUGAGAGGUACUUCAGGGGUAGGGGUGAAAUCGUGUAAUCCUUGAAGGACCACCAGUGGCGAAGGCGUCUCACCAGAACGGACCUGACGGCAAGGGACGAAAGCUAGGGGCACGAACC
This 384-nucleotide ribosomal RNA is filed under the name uncultured prokaryote. Its description in RNAcentral is "bacterial SSU rRNA". It matches the Rfam family "Archaeal small subunit ribosomal RNA", at positions 341 to 725 of the family's 1478-position model. The record is from RNAcentral.